This is a long non-coding RNA of Mustela erminea (ermine), 2296 nucleotides long. RefSeq lists it as uncharacterized. NCBI's taxonomy places the organism in Eukaryota, Metazoa, Chordata, Mammalia, Carnivora, Mustelidae. The record is from RefSeq and is a predicted model, not a curated record. The transcript is spliced from 3 exons.
CGCGGUCGGUGGGUGAUGCCCGCUCCUUGCGCGGUUUGGGGAGGGCUCGUUGGAGAUCCGCGGCAGGAAGACCGUGGCGUGCGGGAGUCAGUGCCUUGCUGCGCCGCCGCGUUCCCUGCACGGGGCUCCAGAGCCUGGGCUGUGGCCGUCGGGGUCUGUUCCUUCCAGAUGCCGGUGCCUAGACUACCACGGGGAGCACUGCCCUUCCGCGGGUUCUGGGGAGACAGCGGACCUUGCAAACGGUCAAGCCCGUAGUUGAGCAUGGAAACGCGGGGAGGACGCUGAAGUCCUUAGACAUGGUGACAGCGGCCAUUUAGAGGACACGGCCGGCGGGGACCGGAGAAUAAAUGCCAGCUCCUCGCGAGGAGUUUUGGGCUUUGCUGCUGGAUGUGGCGGAGCACAGGUCUCUGCUCUGGUCUGAAUCCUCCUCUCCCACGUGAGUUGUCGUGAGAGAGCGCUUCUGGGAUCCGCCGGCCUGCGUCCACACCGGACUCCACCACCUGGGAUCCCGGAGGCCUUACCGACCCCCCAGAACUCCCGUUGCGCGCUGCCCUGGCCGGGCCUGACCUGUGCGCACCCGGAGGCUGGGCUCUUGGACCCCAGCUCAGGGAAGCCGUGCUCAUCCAUGAAAUCGGUGUGACCAUCUCCGAUGGAGACUGGUUUGUCCAGCAGGUGUUCCCCAGAACCCCACUCACGUUGGACCCAGUGUCUUUGGGUGUCCCGUGCUCGUGCCUGCUCUGCCCCCCGUUGCCCCCCUUGCCCAGGCCCCAGAGAGGGGCGGUCUGCAGCAGCUUUCCCGAGCACUCCUUUGGGCCCGGGUCCUGCUUUCCCUCCUUUCUGGACGCCUUCUCCGCUCCCCCAAACCCCAGUUGUCCUUUAUCCUGAGAGUUGUCAACAGUCCACGUUUCAAACAAAAUUUCUCCCCUUCCCGUUCCCCUCCUCUCCCCUCGUCUCCCCCUCCCUCUCCCCCUCCUCCUCCCCCUCCUCCUUCCUGGCCUGAUAACCGGUUGAGAGAAGCGGCCAUCCUGCGGACAUCAGGACCCUUCACCUGCACACACGUUGGCAUUCCUCUGGUUAAAGGAAGGGGACAGGGAGCGUCCUUACGCACGGGCCACAGUCGGCCUCUGACCUGUCUUACUGGAGAGCACGCCCCGCCCUGCCCCUUCCAUGACUCAGGGAGGUUUUGGAGAGCGAGCCGGUGGGUGUCCUCGGGUGUCGCUGCCCUUGCCCCCCGCCCCUGUAUUUUGGUGCUGAGGGCUGGCUCCGGGCCCUGUGCACAUUUGCAGCGGGAACACCUCCUUCUCAGCCCUCCUGCUUGGGGCCUCGUCGUGCGCGGGCACCGGGCCUCGUGUAAAGUGGGCAGGUCCCCUCAGCGGACACUUGGUGUGCGCCUCUUCCUGCCAGGAGUGAGUGGACUGGCUCCCACUGUCCUGAGCGCCCCCUGCCCCCAGCCUCUGGCUGUGCCACGGGACGAGGUUGUGUGGAGCUGAGUGACCCGCCUGAGAGGCCCAGAGAGGGAGCCAGCAGUGCUGAGUGUUCACGCGAGCCCAGACAGGAACUCCUCGUACUUGGCUCAGGACAGGGUCCCGAGUGGCUCCCUCACCCCCGGGUCUGCUGCAGUGCCUGGAGACACAGCCUGGUACCACCGUGGACGGACCAGAUGGCUGCAGAGUGCCCCUGUUGCCUUCCCCGAGUCCCCCAGGCAGUGGGACAGACGCUGUCCAGAUGCUCUGGCUCACUGGACCUUCAGCCUGGAUUGGCGGAGCCUGUCUAGGGGCAGGAGAAGGGUGUGGUAGGCCGGGGGCUCCCUUUCAUGCUUCCCGAGGCCUCACGGGCACUCCUGACAGGAUGGGGGUCCAGUUACAAUGGUCAAGUCACAGAUAAAAUAAGGCUUCUAGGGCCGAGAGGGCCAGGAGCCACCUCCAUCUCCACUCUCCUAUUGCCACCCACCCCCCAGCCCCACUUCUGCCUCCUCCUCCAGGGAGCCAGCCUGGGUUGCCAUGUGUCACAGGAGAAGGCAAAGCUGGGACCUCUUGUCUAAGACAUUUCUAUGCAGAGCUGCCAAGGACGGCCCAAGAUGUGCUGACCAGAUGGCAACCCCGAGCUGCACACAGGCCGAAAUCACUGUGUUCCAAUCCCAGCCUUGCACAAAGCCUUGACAAAGCCAGACUUGCACAGAUGUUUCCACUCAGGGCUGGGCAGAGAUGCCCCAGAGGCGAACAACGGCAAAGAGAGGCCACAGCCUCCCUCGGCUCGCAGGCCGGCCUUCAGGCAGCUGCUGGCUGGCUUCAGAGGG